AUGAAUGGGAGGGCCUUGAU
RNAcentral lists this transfer RNA (20 nucleotides) under Anolis sagrei (brown anole). RNAcentral's name for it is "partial tRNA-Asx". Lineage: Eukaryota; Metazoa; Chordata; Lepidosauria; Squamata; Anolidae. The record is from RNAcentral.